GGAUAUUAUAGUUAUUGCUAAUAUUAUAUUAUAAACAUUUUAAUAAUUAUUUAUAUUUUCUAUAUGAUUUGAUUGCAUAAUAAUUAAUCUUUUUCAAAAAAGAUAAUUUAUUAUUAAUAGAUCUAAUAAAAACUUUAGUGCAAGCACAAAAUAACUUCAAAACAACUAUCAAUUAAAAAAGAAAAGCUAAAUAAAUGAUAUUUUACAGUGAACAGUUGUUAGGUACUUUAACAAAGAAUAACUACUAAUCACCUAAUUUCAUUAAAUAAAUUAAGUUAGCUUGUUCAGGAUUAAACAACUAGCAAUUGUACCUAACAGCUAAAUCAAACACUCUAUAUAUGCAUAUUUUCUUUUUAUCUUACUUUGAAUGUGUAAUUUUUCUUUUUCUGAAUUUAGUUUGGUUUUUGUUCUUCAUUCAAUAUUGAAAUGAAUAUGACAAAACUAAUAAUAUCACAUUAUUUUUGCAUAAAAAGUUCUAAUAUUAUCUCCUAAGAGAGGUGACAAUAUAUAAUUACCUACUAUAAAUAAAGGGGAAAAAAACUAGUGAGUUUAUAUAGGAAGCAAUACACAGUAAAAACCAUUUUUUUAAAACAAUAAUUUCAUUGCAUAAACAUGCUUAAGCCCAAAAGAAGAGAGCAAUAGUCAAUCACUUUCACUAUACUAUUUUGAUUCUCUCAAAUUAAAUGAGGUGCAUCUAUUAUAAGUUUUAAUUCAUAUAAGAAUGAGUCAAGUAAUAUUUAGAUCAAAUAUUUAUUAUAAGAUUUAUGCAGGGUCAACAUAUUAUUUCAAUUAUGUACAUACAUAUCUUAAUUGACCAUGCAUGAAUUUCAUCACAAAUAUUUAAAUUAAAAGCUAGUCAAUUUGAUCUUAUAUAAAUUUGAGCUUAUAAUAAAUUCAUCCAAUUAAAUUAAAUAUAAAUUUAUGAAAUAGAAAAAAGUCAACAAUUCCAGUACCAAUAAAAAAAAUAAUAAAAGGAAGAAAAAAAAAGAAGAUAAAGGGUUAGUCACCAAAGUAAUAUGAACAAAUCAGCAUUCUCUGCUAUUAGGUUAAUAGACAAUGAUGACAGCUAAGCAAUCCACAUCGACUACUCAAUUAAGCUUGUAUGAAAAAAUGAACCUAGUAUAAACACCAGGUUCCAAAAAAGUAAGGGCACGACCUUACUUCAACAGUUUCUGUUCUAUAGGUUCCUACCUCUGUGUCCUUGAGUUCAAAGAUGAUCAUGCAGUUGUCUAUAUGGAAAGAUGUUAAAACAUCACUUUGAUGGUCCCAUGACACUCAUCUACAUACUUUGAGGAGAUAAAAACUUGCUGGAUUUGGUGUGCCAAAAUAAUACUAGGAUUCCUUUCAAAGCAAUAUCAGUAGGAUUCAUAAGAGGAGGAAAUGCAAUAAAUUAGCAAUAUGUCAAGAAUGGAUGAAUAAAUCUCCUCCAGGUAAAUGAAAAACAAGAUUAAGGAAGAGAUGGUUUUGCAGUGCUAUUUUCCAAUCAAAACAGAGCUGCUGAAACAUGCAAUGAUUACCAGGUUCUUGGGCAAAGAUAAAAACAGGGUGGAUGACAAUUUAUCCAUCAUUAACCAACUAAAAGCCUCGAAUCCCAAAAAGGUUUCAUGGUUAUACUGUCUAGAAGAUGGCUUGUAAGGUUAUCAACUUGUUCAUUCAAACGAUACAUAAGAUUAACUAUCUUGUAUAAUGUUAGGUCAUGUUACAUAACUAAUUUCUUCUGUGAAAUAUUAGAGCAUGUUUUGCACUAUUGUUGUUAAUCGUAAUUUUUAGAUAAAAAGUUGGAAGAAAUUCUUUUGAUGAUUUACUUUUACAAUAUGAUUUUCAUAUGCCAAAGGCUAAUCUUGGGGGGCAAAAAAAAACAUAGUUGAAGUUUUUUCAAAUAACUAACAAGUUGCAUUGAUAAAAUUUAGUAAAUAGCUAUUCAUUCUCUAACUCAAAUUCACAUCACUCACAUUUAGUACUUAUAGGCAAUAGCAACGCCAAACAAGCCUUAUUCCCUUUGCUUUAGUCAAAGUCAAUUAAUCUCUAUUCCCAUAAAAAGAUGUAAGAAAUGCCAAAUCCAAAUUAUAGGAACCAGGAAAGAGAAUUACCACUUUUACUCGUAGUUUCACUCUUGCUUUGAAGAACUUUCUCCAACAAUUUGCUUCAUCGGUCAUCAACUCUCUAUCCAAACAAGAUCAUCAACUUUCUACUGCUCCUUGCAUUCACAGUAAUAAAUGUAUGUAAUGAUCACUCACUUUAUGAAACAAUCAUUUUCAUUUCAUUGAUGCGCUAUAGGUUCAGGAAUUGCUAAUAACAAAUGCGUUUCAGUAUUGACCUUGCCUGAGCCUGUCCAAAACAUAAAUCACUCUAUAUGGAAACAAAGCAUGGAGUGACUACCUGAUUCUAUUUGUGUGUCAAAAGCAACUGGUUAAUUUGUAUAUAGAAAGCAACAGGUUGAUCUCAGCAUCAGAUCAUCGGUAGCUUUAAGACUUAACACCUAUGACAUCUGUAACUGAUUAUUACAAAUGUUGUUCAGUCCACAUCCACAAAUGAUGUGCAAUCAAUGUCUUGAAGAGUAAUUUUCCCAGUAUAUAAAUCAUUUAAGUGAUCAGAACAUAAAGGGAGGCAUAUUCGGUCCACGCAUUCGUGAAUGGCACCCAUCCCCUUCACAUUUGAAAGAUUUUGUAGUAACCUCACCCGGUAUACAAUAGUAUUUGUUCUAUCACAGAAAUGAACAACGCAGGAAUGUGAUGGCUCAUCGGAAGCCAGUCUGAUCAAUGCCAAUGAUAAAGCCCCAUCUACAGGUUUUGGAUCUGAGAGAUUUUUAUCUCCCAUUAUCUUUACCUCUCUCUCGGUGGGAAAGUGUACUUCUUCAUUUCCAUCCAUAUCAAUGACUUUCAAAUCUUUAGUGUAAUGUUUAAUAGCUUCAAGUUUUGUUGCUUCAUGCUUUUCUGCUAGUGUCAGAAUACAAGAGAACCUCAAGUGAUAACUUACAACUGUUUUUACCAUCUUAAAGUUGUGGCAGCAGCAAAAGAAAUCAAGCCAUCUUCUCCCAACCCCUGCAUACCACUUUAUAAUAUCAGCGUCUUCCAGAAUAGUAAGAAAGUGAAUUGAUCUAGGACGGCCCAUAUUAUUUGUAAACCCAGCCAUCUUAACAACCUUCCUUACCAGUUCUAUAGGCGCAGAGACUCUCAUGCAUAGCCUUGUCAGAUCCUCCACUGUUCUCUCAGCAUACUUUCUUUCCUCCUCUUCUUCAACUCUCCUUUCUUCUUCCUCCAAUGCCUUUCUAGCCUUAACUGGUGACAAAUGCUUCUCCACCUGCUCUUGGAACCUAUCAUAAGCAUCAACAAGCUCUUGUGGCAAUUGAUCUCUAAUAUGCCUCAAAGAAAGGAAAUCACCUGCAGUGAGCAUUCUAUGCCAAUUCCAACGCUCUUCCAAGGACCCCAUAAACUCUUGAACCACUUCAUCUGCCCAAGUUGCAAAGAUUUCUCGCACUUCAUUCUCAAUUUGGAAGUCAAUUUUGAACCCAUUACUCUGCUUUAACUUCUUAAAAACAUGACUUAAAAUUUUCAAACCCAAUUUCUUCCUAUUCCUUUCCCGUGCAUUUCUCAAUUCCAAAGCCCUAACUUCUUUCUGUCUAAGAUAUUUCUUCCUUGCUCUGAUUGCUUUUUCUGACAUAGGAGGAUGCAAGACUGAAGGUGGGACAGCCUGCAAUUCCAUCCCCAAAAAAUCAAUCUUCUCUGAAACUGCACUAUGGAUAGCUGUCUUUAUUCUAUCUACCUCCAACUCCAAAUUCUUUUCCAACAGUUUCAAAACCUUAUUCUUCACAUCCAUGGUCAUCAUCUUUGAGCCUGAAGUAAUUACUAAGAUCUCAUCCAAGUACCUAACUGCAUAUACCUUGACUGGCUUAUAAAAGGAGUUGGACCUUUCACUAAUCUCAUUUGUUUCAAAUUUGGGAUUCUGUUUGCCAAUUGCUAAACGCAUUUCUUGAAUUUCUCUAUCAAACCCAUUAAAAUAAAUAUUAAUCAAAAUUGAACACAACCUACAUUCUUGAGGAAAUCCCCUACCCAAAUAAAACCCACCCAGUUCAAUUUUCAAAACUCCACAUUCAAAUAACUUUUUUAUCACAUCAAUCAAAAUCCUAUCCUUAAUUUUCUCUUCCAUAAACAAGCAUAACUUAUCUACAUUCCUACUAUCAAACUUGACACUAUUAAAGCAAACACUAAACCACCAACUUGGGUUUUUCACCGAGUUCUUAAGGUACCUUAUAGCCGUGUGCCGCCCCAUAUUGACACGUCCACCAUAAGAAAAAGUAACAAAACGAUCAUCGUAUACAAUUUCUAACACAAGCCUAAUAGCUUCAAUAAAAAGUUUGAGCUUCAAAUUGGGCAAAACCAAGGACUCACCUUUACCUGCCAUUUUGACACAAUUAGACUCGAUAUCCAACCGGUUAUCAGAAAUCUCUCGACCCAUUUCUUCAAUCGAGAAAUGCCUAGAGACUGAGUGGUAAAGAGACUGAGGGAACCCAGUUGACUCCGGCGAGCUGGAGGCAUUAUAAUGGGAAGUAACAAGGUUUUCUGAGGCAGAGAGGAGAACAGAGGGCAAAGCGACGACAUUUUGUAUGAGAUUGAAGAAAUUGCCAUGGAAGAAUUGGCUGAGCACUAAGGCUUUGAGUUGUGGUGCAGAUAAGGGUAUUGCAGUGGGGCUUUGAGGUGGGGUUUUGAGAUUAUCGUGGUUAGGGUUUAAGGGUAGUGUUGAAUAUAAGGAAUUAAAGGAAGAUAAGAUUGGAAAUGAGAAUUUGAGAGGGAAUGCUGUCUUUGUUUUGAGGGUGAUGAGCAUUGAAACACAGAUAAAAACUGCCGAUGAGGAGAAGUGAAGAAGUUGGAGUUUGGCUUGGUGAAUUUUUU
RNAcentral lists this unclassified non-coding RNA (4889 nucleotides) under Hevea brasiliensis (rubber tree). The record is from RNAcentral. Lineage: Eukaryota; Viridiplantae; Streptophyta; Magnoliopsida; Malpighiales; Euphorbiaceae.